This 460-nucleotide ribosomal RNA is filed under the name uncultured bacterium. RNAcentral's name for it is "partial 16S ribosomal RNA". It matches the Rfam family "Bacterial small subunit ribosomal RNA", at positions 338 to 795 of the family's 1533-position model. The record is from RNAcentral.
CCUACGGGGGGCAGCAGUGAGGAAUAUUGGUCAAUGGGCGGGAGCCUGAACCAGCCAAGUCGCGUGAGGGAAGACGGUCCUAUGGAUUGUAAACCUCUUUAGUCGGGGAGCAAUGCCGGGCACGCGUGCCCGGCGGGAGAGUACCCGCAGAAUAAGCCUCGGCUAACCCCGUGCCAGCAGCCGCGGUAAUACGGAGGAUGCGAGCGUUAUCCGGAUUUAUUGGGUUUAAGGGGUGCGUAGGCGGAGUUUUAAGUCAGCGGUAAAAUGUCCGGGCUCAACCCGGGCCGGCCGUUGAAACUGGGGAGCUUGAGUGGGCGAGAAGUAGGCGGAAUGCGUGGUGUAGCGGUGAAAUGCAUAGAUAUCACGCAGAACUCCGAUUGCGAAGGCAGCAUACCGGGGCCCGACUGACGCUGAGGCACGAAAGCGUGGGGAUCGAACAGGAUUAGAUACCCCUGUAGUC